UAUGUGAUCGUCUCUCGCAUAUCAAUAAGCGGAGGAAAAGAAACUAACAAGGAUUCCCCUAGUAACGGCGAGUGAAGCGGGAAGAGCUCAAAUUUGAAAUCUUAAAGGGUUUCCCUUUACGAAUUGUAGUUUAAAGAAGUGUUUUCUGUUGAGGUUUUGGUAAAAGUUCUUUGGAAUAGGACACCAUAGAGGGUGAGAAUCCCGUAUUUGACCUUUACUUUCAACUUUGUGAUACACUUUCAAAGAGUCGGAUUGUUUGGGAAUGCAGUCCAAAAUGGGUGGUAAAUUUCAUCUAAAGCUAAAUAUUGGCGAGAGACCGAUAGCGAACAAGUACCGUGAGGGAAAGAUGAAAAGAACUUUGAAAAGAGAGUUAAACAGUACGUGAAAUUGUCAAAAGGGAAGCGUUUGACACCAGUGUUGUUUUUCUGAAAAUCAAUUAAAGAACUGUUUAUGCUAAGUUGUUUAGACUUUAUCAGCUAACUGUUUAGUUUUGAGCUUUUCUUUAAUGCACUUUUCAGUUAACAAGUCAACAUCAAUUUCUUUUGCUGUAAAAAAGCUUGAGGAAGGUGGCUUGAGAUUCGUCUUAAGUGUUUAUAGCCUCUUGCCUAUGCAGUCGGAGAGAUUGAGGUCUGCAGCGUAGAUCCUUCGGGGCUAAAUGCAUUUGUGCUAAGUUAUAAGCAUUUUAUAGACAACUUGUUGACUAUGAUUUGUCUUGUAGCUUACUCGCUUAUGUUAUUUUACCUACGCUUAGGAUGUUGAGUAGCGACAUACGCAC
Molecule: ribosomal RNA, 775 nt
Filed under: uncultured Neocallimastigales
Lineage: Eukaryota; Fungi; Neocallimastigomycota; Neocallimastigomycetes; Neocallimastigales
Description: partial large subunit ribosomal RNA
Rfam family: Eukaryotic large subunit ribosomal RNA
Source: RNAcentral